This 621-nucleotide long non-coding RNA is filed under the name Salmo salar (Atlantic salmon). RNAcentral's name for it is "lncRNA (ENSSSAG00000109923.1)". Lineage: Eukaryota; Metazoa; Chordata; Actinopteri; Salmoniformes; Salmonidae. The record is from RNAcentral.
GGGCGCCGGAGGGCCAGGGCAGGGCAGGACAUCACAUCAGAGGGCAGGCCAGGACAUCGUGUGUGUUGAGAUUAAACAGGUUCUUUAUAUAGGCCUGCUAGGGCCCAAGCAAGCUGCUUUAUCUGUCUGUCAUUAAACCGCUCUAAAUGUGUCCAGGCACAGCACUGCCUGCCUGGUUACAUGGCUGCUAUUUCAAAUCAACUCCCAUUGUAUUUUUCACCUGUAAACAACAGGUGUAAACAACAGGUGUAAACAACAGGUGGAAACAACAGGUGUAAACAACAGGUGUAAACAACAGGUGUAAACAACAGGUGUAAACAACAGGUGUAAACAACAGGUGUAAACAACAGGUGUAAACAACAGGUGUAAACAACAGGUGGAGACUAAGUGAAAUGCUUACAGGUCCAUUUCCAACAAGAGAAAAUGGAAAUAGUGACACAAUGAAUAACGAAUAAAGAGUUAAAAUAACAUGGUUAUAUACAGGAAGUACCGGGUAAUAACAUGGUUAUAUACAGGAAGUACCGGGUAAUAACAUGGUUGUGUACAGGAAGUACCGGGUAAUAACAUGGUUGUGUACAGGAAGUACCGGGUAAUAACAUGGUUGUGUACAGGAAGUACCGG